CCAUCUCUUUGUUCUGCAUUAUCUUAUGACAAAAGAAAAAAUUCUUAUUUUGAAUCAAACUCAAAGCUAGGUCCUGAUAUCUCAAGGCACAGGUACUCGUACUUAAAGGCACUGUCAUCUCUCAAGUACCCAUCGUGGAGGGUACGGACCCCACAUGAGGGUGAGGCUCUCUGCACACUCCAGAGUGAGGACUUUAAUAAUCUAGUGGACUGUACAUGUUGGGAGGGGAAGAGCGGGGUGCCGAGGGUCUGGAGGGAGAAGAAUUGACUUCCCCUUUUGCUCUUGGAGUUAAGCAGAAAUCUAAAGAGAAGGCAAAGAAUCUUGCCUUCCUGGCAUCAUUUCCUCCUACCAUCCCAGGCCAUCAUUUAUUUAUUACAGCCAACAGACUGGCCUCUUUCUUCCCUUUGACUGGGAAUGGGUCAAAGGCAGUGCAGGAGGAGUAUCUGGUCCAGAUAAUUCACAAGCAGGGUGCAUUUUCCUCUCAUUAUUGAAAACUGUGAGUGUUUAUCAAGGAGGCAGAGUGGGAGAAGAUGAACCAGUCUUCUUCCCCUCACUACCCAGAUUUCUGCCUCCCAACAAGCCCCGUGUUCACCCUGGCAAAGAGUCUUUACAUUCAGACCAAGGAGAGUGUGACUCCUUCUCAGCACUAGCCAGAAACCUCAAGCCCUUGCUUAAGGGCCUUUUUUAGAGAGACCCAAUGCCCAGAAGGCUAGAUGCGUGGGGAGGAGCCACAUGCGAGAAUCUGCCUCCCUGCUUCAGGUCAGAACAAGCCCCAGGAAGAAAGUAUUUCAAACAACAAGGUGCAUCUGCCCCAACCCAUCCAGCCUGCAUGUUGGUGCUGAGAACAGCCUUUUAUGGGGCUUGCACUAAGCCAUGGGCAUGUCUGAACACAACAAGGAAGAGGCCAGAACAGCAACUGCACGCAAAGGGUUGAUGGGCAUUUCUUUUAAGAGAGGGCAGAAAACUCUUA
Molecule: small RNA, 970 nt
Filed under: Pongo abelii (Sumatran orangutan)
Lineage: Eukaryota; Metazoa; Chordata; Mammalia; Primates; Hominidae
Description: retained intron
Source: RNAcentral